This 432-nucleotide ribosomal RNA is filed under the name uncultured bacterium. RNAcentral's name for it is "partial 16S ribosomal RNA". It matches the Rfam family "Bacterial small subunit ribosomal RNA", at positions 29 to 507 of the family's 1533-position model. The record is from RNAcentral.
ACGAACGCUGGCGGCAUGCCUAACACAUGCAAGUCGAACGAGACCUUCGGGUCUAGUGGCGCCCGGGUGCGUAACGCGUGGGAACCUGCCCUUAGGUUCGGAAUAACUCCCCGAAAGGGGUGCUAAUACCGGAUAAUGUCUUCGGACCAAAGAUUUAUCGCCUUUGGAUGGGCCCGCGUUGGAUUAGCUAGUUGGUAGGGUAAAAGCCUACCAAGGCGACGAUCCAUAGCUGGUCUGAGAGGAUGAUCAGCCACACUGGGACUGAGACACGGCCCAGACUCCUACGGGAGGCAGCAGUGGGGAAUAUUGGACAAUGGGCGAAAGCCUGAUCCAGCAAUGCCGCGUGAGUGAUGAAGGCCUUAGGGUUGUAAAGCUCUUUUACCCGGGAGGAUAAUGACAGUACCGGGAGAAUAAGCUCCGGCUAACCCCGUG